RNAcentral lists this unclassified non-coding RNA (244 nucleotides) under Hevea brasiliensis (rubber tree). Lineage: Eukaryota; Viridiplantae; Streptophyta; Magnoliopsida; Malpighiales; Euphorbiaceae. The record is from RNAcentral.
AUAGAACCUUCUUGCAGCAACAUUUGGAAAGUUUUUAUAUACACACUGUAAGUGGGAUAACAUAAAUACCUACUUGAGCCUUUUGAUGCCCACAAGAUUGGUGGUAUGGCGUGCAAACUGGAAAAUGUCAGUUAAAAGAAAACAAAAUUUACAUUUGAUGAUGAAGUUCGAGGUAAAAUGUGAGUUCAGGCUCAAGGUUCUAAGCAAAAUACAUUAUAUAAAUUGUAAAUGAAAUAAAAGUCAG